UGCAUCGUUUUCAUGCUACUU
Molecule: non-coding RNA, 21 nt
Filed under: Caenorhabditis elegans
Lineage: Eukaryota; Metazoa; Nematoda; Chromadorea; Rhabditida; Rhabditidae
Source: RNAcentral